GACGAACGCUGGCGGCGUGCCUAACACAUGCAAGUCAGGGAGAAAAGGGUAGCAAUAUCCUGAGUAAACCGGCGGACGGGUGAGUAACACGUAGGUAAUCUACCUUGGAGUUUGGGACAACCUCGCGAAAGCGGGGCUAAUACCGGAUAACACAAUCGGUUCUCAUGAAUCGGUUAUCAAAGCUUCCGAGCGCUUCAAGAUGAGCCUGCGUCCGAUUAGCUAGUUGGUGAGGUAAUGGCUCACCAAGGCUACGAUCGGUAGCCGACCUGAGAGGGUGAUCGGCCACACUGGGACUGAGAUACGGCCCAGACUCCUACGGGAGGCAGCAGUGAGGAAUAUUGGUCAAUGGACGAAAGUCUGAACCAGCAACGCCGCGUGAGGGAUGAA
RNAcentral lists this ribosomal RNA (387 nucleotides) under uncultured bacterium. RNAcentral's name for it is "bacterial SSU rRNA". It matches the Rfam family "Bacterial small subunit ribosomal RNA", at positions 28 to 412 of the family's 1533-position model. The record is from RNAcentral.